CGGUCCUGCGUAGCCAUCCGGUGCCGACCGUCCGAGGGCGCUCCGCGGGCAGAGGCCGUCUCGUCCCGUCCGUUCUGCGCCGACCCGCUGUCGGUAGCUCUGCUUAGUUACCCCAGUUUUAAGCGACGCGGUUGAGACAGCCUGGAAACCACGCACUGUGAUACGUAACGCGCUAUCGGUAACUGUGUGAUUUCUAAAAGCGCGCGGGCGACGCAGCGGAACACAGGCGAACCAGCGACUGGCGGCCCGUCUCAAGCUGAGCCCGUGGUCCGGACAUCCGAUCGAGAAGACUGUAAAAGUGACGUCACUGAGUACUUCGAACACUUCGUGAAAUAUAGCAGUACGAAAAUGUAGACAAAGGAGGUGGUGGGGGGCAGGCGAUGCAGCGGCAGACAGAGAGUAGAGUGUUCAAAAUGCUGUAGAGGAUGAUGAGUGUAACAGCUGCGAAAGGAUGAAAAGAUGGACGAUUGCAGGAAACCAGUAGAAAUAAUGAAGAAUAAAAAAAAAAAAAAAGAAACAGAUGAGUUAUGUUCUCAACAUAUUUUGUUC
Molecule: long non-coding RNA, 549 nt
Organism: Schistocerca piceifrons (Central American locust)
Lineage: Eukaryota; Metazoa; Arthropoda; Insecta; Orthoptera; Acrididae
Exons: 2
Source: RefSeq, a predicted model, not a curated record